RNAcentral lists this ribosomal RNA (116 nucleotides) under Ignavibacteria bacterium. Lineage: Bacteria; Pseudomonadati; Ignavibacteriota; Ignavibacteria. The record is from RNAcentral.
CUCGGUGACUAUACCACGGGGGAAACACCUCUUCCCAUUCCGAACAGAGAAGUUAAGCCCCGUUGGGCCGAUGGUACUGCUCCUUUCAGGUGUGGGAGAGUAGGUCGUUGCCGGGC